RNAcentral lists this long non-coding RNA (1277 nucleotides) under Sphaeramia orbicularis (orbiculate cardinalfish). RNAcentral describes it as "lncRNA (ENSSORG00005018529.1)". Lineage: Eukaryota; Metazoa; Chordata; Actinopteri; Kurtiformes; Apogonidae. The record is from RNAcentral.
AUUUAAUAGACAUAUUGUUUGAUUUACCUUAGGAUGAAGAAAACCCAGACAAUCAACACAGAAUUAAAACCUCCAGAGACAAUAGAGUUGGACAAUUUUCAGAGCUAUGAGAAUGAACACGUUCAACACAGAGAAGAAAGAAGACUCACAGGAGGAAGAAGACCUGAUGAGACGUCCAGUGAUGUUGAAGUAUCAUGCACAUAAAAUUUGGUGCUGAAAUGUCUCUAACAGCAUAAAUACGGAGCACAUGUGGAGCUCACUUACAUCCUCUGUGAUGCAUCCAAAGUCCACAAAACCACAAUGAAAAUGACAAGUGAGUUCAUUCAUCAUUAUCAUCAUCAUCAUCAUCAUCAUCAACCACAUAUGUACAGAUCUUCACAGAAGAACCAUAGACUGAGUUCAGACUCUCCUACAGAAUAGAUGAUGCCUUUUUAAUUAAAAAAAAAAAGUUAUUAUUAUUAUUAUUAUUAUUAUUAUUAUUAUUAUGUUACAGCCGGUGGGCUGUCCUGCUUCAUCUCCUCCUGUUAGUCUGUCUUAACCUUUUCUUAUAUUGUGAGAGGCUGAGUCUGGUUCUCCAAACUUCCUUCCUCCCUCCUCUGUUUCUCUGAUGUGGAGAAAGCCGAUUGGAAGAUGCCAGCACCCACCUGAGCCCCGCCCACCAGCUCAUCAUAUUUAACUGCCUCCAGAUGACUGCUCUUUGCCACUGUCGUGUGUUCAUGGCUUAGUUUGGUUUCGUGUUUGAUCAUUCUGCUUGUGUCUUGUUGUGAACUCUGACUGCUCAUUUUAGAUAAAUAUUUUUAAGACCAGCUUUCUGAUUGUCUAAUCCAGAGAAUUUUUUUUCUGUUCCAGUACCUGAGUGUGUCCACCAGCUGCUGUGAGUUUUUGUUGGUUAGCUUUCUUUGGUUUGUAGAUUUUGCCCACUGUUACACAGUGUGAGCGUAGUGUUUUGUUUUUCCUUUUUGGCCUGUGUUAUAUUAAUUGCAAAACUUUGUAAGAUUGUAACUUUAAAAAGAGUGGCCUUCUUGAGUAGAAGUAGUUUUAUUUUGUGUUAGAUUUUCCCUCGUCUAGUUUAGCCACCAUGCACUGUGACCUCUUUGUUGUUCAUUAUUUGGUUAGGUAGAAGUGGUUCUCUUUUUGUUAUUGAAUAUUUCUUCUGGGCUCACCACUAGCCCCAGGUAGGAUAGCUUCAUUUUGGUUUCUUUUGGCAGUGCCUGCUCUUUCUGGUCUGUAUUUAUUUCUGAGUAUUCAGACUAAGUGCUACAAAUAAAAGAAAAUUG